This 449-nucleotide ribosomal RNA is filed under the name uncultured bacterium. RNAcentral describes it as "partial 16S ribosomal RNA". It matches the Rfam family "Bacterial small subunit ribosomal RNA", at positions 29 to 523 of the family's 1533-position model. The record is from RNAcentral.
AAUGAACGCUGGCGGCAGGCCUAACACAUGCAAGUCGAACGGAUCCUUCGGGAUUAGUGGCGGACGGGUGAGUAACGCGUGGGAACAUACCCUUUGGUACGGAAUAGCCUCGGGAAACUGAGAGUAAUACCGUAUGUGGUCGAGAGACGAAAGAUUUAUCGCCAAAGGAUUGGCCCGCGUUGGAUUAGGUAGUUGGUGGGGUAAUGGCCUACCAAGCCGACGAUCAAUAGCUGGUUUGAGAGGAUGAUCAGCCACACUGGGACUGGGACACGGCCCAGACUCCUACGGGAGGCAGCAGUGGGGAAUCUUAGACAAUGGGGGAAACCCUGAUCUAGCCAUGCCGCGUGAUCGAUGAAGGCCUUAGGGUUGUAAAGAUCUUUCAGGUGGGAAGAUAAUGACUGUACCACCAGAAGAAGCCCCGGCUAACUCCGUGCCAGCCGCCGCAGUAA